GCGUGAAGCCCCCCUCAAGAUGAGAUUUCCCACAGCAUAAGCUGGUAAGACCCCUUAUAGAUGAUGAGGUAGAUAGGUUCGAGGUGGAAGUGCAGCAAUGUGCGGAGCUGACGAAUACUAAUCGGUCGAGGGCUUAACCUAA
This 142-nucleotide ribosomal RNA is filed under the name Aneurinibacillus soli. RNAcentral's name for it is "partial 23S ribosomal RNA". It matches the Rfam family "Bacterial large subunit ribosomal RNA", at positions 2785 to 2925 of the family's 2925-position model. The record is from RNAcentral. Lineage: Bacteria; Bacillati; Bacillota; Bacilli; Caryophanales; Paenibacillaceae.